Long non-coding RNA from Megalobrama amblycephala (Wuchang bream), 1892 nucleotides. RefSeq lists it as uncharacterized. The record is from RefSeq and is a predicted model, not a curated record. NCBI's taxonomy places the organism in Eukaryota, Metazoa, Chordata, Actinopteri, Cypriniformes, Xenocyprididae. The transcript is spliced from 4 exons.
UUGUCUGUUGUAAAUCCUGCCCACUUGUUUGCAUUGUGACACAUGCUUCAGUGCUCUGAGAGUGUUUAUAGUGCUGUGAGUUUAACACUUCAUGACUGAGAGCAGAACAGAACACAAUCUUCAUCAUCACACAAGACAAAAGAACAACAAUGAACACAAUCACCUUCUUCAUCUGGACUCUCACACUGUUUAUUCAAGAAUCCAGAGGAGUGACUCUGACUCAACCUGAAGUUAAAACUGUCCAACAGGGUCAAACAGCUUCAAUAGAGUGUCAUAUAGAUGUAGGAAUAUACAGCAACUACUUAGCCUGGUAUCAGCAGAAACCUGGAGAAGCUCCUAAACUCCUGAUAUUAUGAUAUAAACAGCCGUCCAGUACUGGAACUCCAUCUAGAUUCAGUGGCAGUGGAACAGCAAAUACUGGACGAGAUUUUACUCUGACCAUCAGUGGAGUCCAGACUGAAGAUACAGGAGAUUAUUACUGUCAGAGUUGGCACAGUGGUGAUGUGUUCACACAGUGAUAAAGAGUGGUACAAAAACCUCGGUCAGUCAGACGUCACAGUGAUGCACUGAUACAGCUGAGAGAUACUGCAGCUGCUGAUGGAGGAUCACAAACAACACAAUGGUGUAUCAAACCUUUCAGAGACUUUAUUUAUUAUGAUGUAUAUGUAAAUGUAUACGUAAGUAAACAUGUAACAUACAGUCUUAUAUCCUUUACUAAACUGGAUAUACCAGCCUGAUCUCACAAUCAAAACGUACAUAUUUAGACGUAAAUUAAAACUGUCCAAUACGUAUGUGCCUUUACGUAUUUACAGUGUCUUUUACAUAUUAUCCGGACAUAAUUACAGGUUCGAUACGUAUCUAAAUUUACGUUAAAACAACCUCAAAUACGUACAGAUAGAACGUGUUCUCUGACCAGUCAGUUAUCCAUAGAAAUUUGCUCAUGAAGCUGCUUUUCAAUGCUUAUCUGCUUAAUUUAUGUUAAAUACUUAUUUUGUUAUGAAGCCUUAUGAAAUAUUAACGAUAAACGUUGUGAUUCCGUUGCUAUGAUUUAAAAUAAACAAUAAUCUGACGAAACCAGAAAAGACCGCGUUCCCGACCGGAUUGAUUUCAGAGCUGCAACAGAAUCAGAAUCGCUUCGUGGUUGACGUCUUGUUCUUCUUGGUGAGUUUUUAAUUUAAUUUAAUUUGUUAAUGUAUAUUUGUGAUCUGUUUUAUGAAAUAUAUUCUUAAGUACUCAGCUGUUGUUUUUUUUAUCUGGUAACAAGUGGUUUUUAGCUGGUAAUCGAAAAAGUGCAUCGACUCUGAAGUGAUGCUAGGUUUUAGCAUUGGAUUACGUUAGUCAUUAACACUAAUGGGUAUUAUUAUUAAUCUAAUUUAAAUUAAUGUUUUUGAUGCAUUUGUUGUGUUUUUUAAUUUUUUUUUAAAUUUUCUCAGAUCAAACUUUUUAUGACACUAUGGCGCAUAAUGAUAAAGAAUUAAACGAACUUCUCAGAAAAGGACGCGCUGUUGCUGUAUCCCUCGGAAGCGUUUAUGAUCGCACCCAAAUGGAUGCUGUCGUUAAAGAAGGCCACACUGACCCUGCCAAAAUGAACCUGGAUCAAUGCAUCAAACAAGGUCAAACAGUUAUUAAAAGUCUUGACAAUGCGAGUUCAAUAAAUAACCUGGAUCAUCUUUUACAAGAGUCCAUCGAGCUGUUUGGACAACCAAACCAAAAUGGCCCAAAGGCAAAGAAGAAAAAAAGGACCCAGUCCAGUGGUAAAAUCAGAUAUAAAAUCAGAGAGAAGUCACGUCCAAAACAAGCAACGCCUUCUACUUCACAUGAUUCAAGAGUUAAAUCAAGGCCAUGUCUAAAGCCAACAGAAUUUCAUCAUGACCAGGGUCCAGAUCAUGGUU